This is a long non-coding RNA of Topomyia yanbarensis, 447 nucleotides long. RefSeq lists it as uncharacterized. The record is from RefSeq and is a predicted model, not a curated record. Lineage: Eukaryota; Metazoa; Arthropoda; Insecta; Diptera; Culicidae. The transcript has 3 exons.
UAAUGUUUCUGAGAGUUUCAGGUUUUCCGACGUUUUCAAUGCGCUGGUUUUCGUCCGGGUACUAUUGUUUUAUUUUAUAAAACGGAUUAAAGUAGAUCCGAAGUUUCCGUGUUUGAGUCUAAAGAAAUUCGAUCCGGUAAUUUGUGCUUCAGGAACCAACUCUGACCCUGUUUCCUUUGACCGGACCAAAAUCAAUAAACUCAAACAGAAAGAUCCGUAUGAUGAGUCCAUUAUAUGAAAAACUGGGACAAGAUGUUGGAAGUCAUCUGGAAGCGACCUAGUUGGAUUUGUAGCAAAUUACUAAGAAUUGAAGUCCACGUAAACAUUACUAGCAAACUAGUACAGUUCAUUUAUGAUGUCACCACCCACCGUAAAGUCUUUCAUUAUUUUAUGAUUACGUUGGUGCUCAAUAAUUGAAUAUACAUAAAACAUCUUCACUACAUUGUA